RNAcentral lists this ribosomal RNA (254 nucleotides) under uncultured bacterium. RNAcentral describes it as "partial 16S ribosomal RNA". It matches the Rfam family "Bacterial small subunit ribosomal RNA", at positions 524 to 776 of the family's 1533-position model. The record is from RNAcentral.
UACGUAGGGUGCAAGCGUUAAUCGGAAUUACUGGGCGUAAAGCGUGCGCAGGCGGUUUUGUAAGUCUGACGUGAAAUCCCCGGGCUCAACCUGGGAAUUGCGUUGGAGACUGCAAGGCUAGAAUCUGGCAGAGGGGGUAGAAUUCCACGUGUGAGCAGUGAAAUGCGUAGAGAUGUGGAGGAACACCGAUGGCGAAGGCAGCCCCCUGGGUCGAUACUGACGCUCAUGCACGAAAGGCGUGGGGAGCAAACAGG